GCGUAGAAUACAGAAUGUUCACAUGAAUGUCAAAUGGGAGAGUCAGCAUAGGGACCAUGGUGCUCACAUCUGGGCUUGCACCCCUGCCCGCCAGCUCGCUGGUGGUUCUGUCAGUGGGUGCUGGGCAGGACAACGUGGGUAUUUUUAUUCCGUUGUCUCCAGCAAACCAUGGGUGCAGCAAUGAUCUCAGAUUCAGGCUGGCUACCAACGGCUCCAAUUUCAAUCAGCACAACCCUAAGACUCCUGUGAAGCAGUGUGGGGAUUCUCCAUCAGGAAACCACUCCCAGCAUUCACAAAGGACACUCAGAGCACCAGAGUACCCACCAGGGACAGUUUCUUGCCUUUUACAAUACCCAGGAAGUGCUCUUCGUCGCGAAUCCCGAAGUUGGACUCUGUUGUGCUGACAUAUUUUCUCUUGGGAGCUGCCGGGCUAGUUCAGGCAUCUGCAAUGCUUGAACAGACAAUUUCAGGCUGGAGAAUUUAAGAGACAACGAAAUAGAGUUUUAAAUGCCUUGUAAGAUAACAAUGAAAGACAUUUAUGAAGAAAAAAAAAACAACAAAAAAGAAAAUUCUAGUUAGUUUGAAAGCUGGGGCCCUCACUCUGUGUUUUGACGGCAGAUGGAUGGCCAGUUCAACUAACCCUGAUUUACUUUCUGACUUGGAUUUGUCUCACUGGUCUACGGGGAUCGGGAGGGCUCCCCCCAAUCUGUUAAUGUUCAGAACCAAUGUUUGAGUUUUAGACUAAUUAUGGGCCUACCACUGACAUUUUUUCUAUAAUGUGAAGACUGCUGCCACCAGUAACUCAGUGAGAUUUAACAUAAAAGCAAGAUAAAACAAUUAAAGUAGAAGAAUAUUUGAUUAAGUGGAUUGCUGAUUUAUAGUUAGGUAAAUUGAAAUUGAAAGGAGAGUGAACUUUUUAUGGCAAUCAUAUAUUAUGUGCAUUAUCAGAGACUCUGUCUCCUUUGUGCUUUUGUGACUUAAAAAGAAAUAAACCAGUUUAAGGAGAGUGAUCCUGGCAGGCAUCAUUUUCAUCUUCUCUUGAGUUAUAGUUUCUUUUCAUUGCAAAGGUUAAAUAAAUCCUAUGCAAGAAAACUCAUUGCAGAACAUGCAAUCAACAUUUGAACAGGCAGAAAGGUGUACUAACAAGGCCGCA
RNAcentral lists this long non-coding RNA (1153 nucleotides) under Fukomys damarensis (Damara mole-rat). RNAcentral describes it as "lncRNA (ENSFDAG00000024961.1)". Lineage: Eukaryota; Metazoa; Chordata; Mammalia; Rodentia; Bathyergidae. The record is from RNAcentral.